ACCACCGCAACCCGCGCGGAUCUGACCUGCCGUUAUCCGCUCGAAGACGAACCCGCUGCAGUACGGGACGAGAUGGGACGGAUCAACCUGUUUGACAUUCCUAUGACCAUGGGCCAUUCUUAAGACCAGCCCGACUCAGUUUUACCAGAUUGAACACUCCUACACUAUUGUUAUUUUAUAUUUAGGGUUUAGAGUUUAGGGUUUAGGGUUUAUGGUUUAGGGUUUAGGG
This 229-nucleotide long non-coding RNA is filed under the name Brassica napus (rape). RNAcentral's name for it is "long non-coding RNA (BNAP_LNC024525)". Lineage: Eukaryota; Viridiplantae; Streptophyta; Magnoliopsida; Brassicales; Brassicaceae. The record is from RNAcentral.